This 520-nucleotide ribosomal RNA is filed under the name uncultured bacterium. Its description in RNAcentral is "bacterial SSU rRNA". It matches the Rfam family "Bacterial small subunit ribosomal RNA", at positions 8 to 521 of the family's 1533-position model. The record is from RNAcentral.
AGAGUUUGAUCCUGGCUCAGAACAAACGCUGGCGGCGUGUCUUAAGCAUGCAAGUCGAGCGGCAAGGGCAGCAAUGCCCCUAGAGCGGCGGACUGGUGAGUAACGCGUGGGUGAUCUACCUUGGGCAUGGGGAUAGCCAUUAGAAAUAGUGGGUAAUACCGAAUACGUUCGUUACCGUGAGGGUAACGAGGAAAGGCGCUACGGCGCCGGCCGGAGAUGAGCUUGCGUCUGAUUAGCUAGUUGGUGAGGUAAUGGCUCACCAAGGCGAUGAUCGGUAGCCGGCCUGAGAGGGUGUACGGCCACACUGGGACUGAGAUACGGCCCAAACUCCUACGGGAGGCAGCAGCUAAGAAUAUUCCGCAAUGGACGAAAGUCUGACGGAGCGACGCCGCGUGGAUGAUGAAGGCCGAAAGGUUGUAAAGUCCUUUUGCUGGGGAAGAAUAAGCGUGGGAGGGAAUGCCCGCGUGAUGACAUGAACCGGCGAAUAAGCCCCGGCUAACUACGUGCCAGCCGCCGCGGU